UACGUAGGGUGCGAGCGUUGUCCGGAAUUACUGGGCGUAAAGAGCUCGUAGGUGGUUUGUCGCGUUGUCCGUGAAAACUCACAACUCAAUUGUGGGCGUGCGGGCGAUACGGGCAGACUGGAGUACUGCAGGGGAGACUGGAAUUCCUGGUGUAGCGGUGGAAUGCGCAGUUAUCAGGAGGAACACCGGUGGCGAAGGCGGGUCUCUGGGCAGUAACUGACGCUGAGGAGCGAAAGCGUGGGGAGCGAACAGG
This 253-nucleotide ribosomal RNA is filed under the name uncultured bacterium. RNAcentral describes it as "partial 16S ribosomal RNA". It matches the Rfam family "Bacterial small subunit ribosomal RNA", at positions 524 to 776 of the family's 1533-position model. The record is from RNAcentral.